AGCGGUUACACUUUAGGGUCUGUAUUUACUACUUGUUUUGUGGGAGUAGCUAUGCCCUUGCAAGAUAUUCACAACUAUACUGAACUUGCUGCUUAUAAGAUGAAGUUGAAGGCCCAGCAGCUGGCUAGGUUUGGCUCUGUCUCAAAUCCUAAGCCCUAUACAAAUCAGCAUCGUCUUCAGAUUAGGCUAAUGGCUGUGUCCUCAAAUGCUACUUCCUGUUUCACUAUUGUAGGGGCACGGAAGGUUGAUACUAAUUUGACCAACCAUGACAUGAAUUGCUCUGUUUCCCCAACUCCAACUUCUUAUUUUGAUGCACACUUAUACCUUCCCCGUGGGUGGUUUUUGCUCUGCGGACUAACUGCAUUCACUUAUGUCCCAGCUAACAGUUCGGGAGGCCCUUGUUCUCUUGGACGAUUAACCAUGGGGGUUGUCCCUGGCCAUGCUCUAGUUCUAAAGACACCUGGGCCUGCCCGAGUCCAGAGAGCUCGGCGUGGCCUGCCUCUGGACGAAACCUGUGAUUCUAAGGUAAACCUGGUGUCUAAAUCUCAGGCUAUAGCCCUCGCUACCUCAUUGGUCAGAGUCCCAGGCCUGGCCUUAGAUGCAGAGCUCCAGCUUGCUAAAGUGGCCUGUGCCCUUGCCAAGUCCAUUAAUCUAACUUCCACUUUAAUCUCUGACUUGGCCUCGGAACUCACAGGGGUCCGAGAAGGGGUACUCCAAAAUCACACUGCAAUAGACUAUCUCCUCUUAAGGCAUAAUCAUGAGUGUGAGGAAUUUAAGGGUCUCUGCUGCUUUAACCUUUCUGAUCACAGUCAAAGUAUUGAAAAUAGACUGGCUAAGUUGCGUGACCUUGUCACUCAUAUAACGCAAAAUAGUGACAAUGAUUGGUGGGGUUCUUGGGGUUUUGGUAAUUGGUUUGAGUGGCUUAAAAGCAUUUUUACCUCCUUGCUAGUAGUAAUAGUGAUCGGUUUGCUCUUCUGCUGUGGUCUGCAGUUAGGAGUGCCUUGUUGUAAAAGUUGUCUGUCUGUCCUCCGACAGCCAACAGAAAUGUACCCCCUUAGGGCAGUCUCGCUACCAACAUCGGGUGGCCUACCCUUUAACAUUGUUUUAAGUAAUGAAUAUGAGAAAACUCAAUGAAAGGCCUUUGAGUAUUCUCAAAGGGGGGAUUGUUGGGGGGGGGCGGGCCCCGAAUAAUUGGUAAU
Molecule: long non-coding RNA, 1199 nt
Filed under: Gopherus agassizii (Agassiz's desert tortoise)
Lineage: Eukaryota; Metazoa; Chordata; Testudines; Testudinidae
Description: lncRNA (ENSGAGG00000010984.1)
Source: RNAcentral